RNAcentral lists this transfer RNA (69 nucleotides) under Fukomys damarensis (Damara mole-rat). It matches the Rfam family "tRNA". Rfam says of the family: Transfer RNA (tRNA) molecules are approximately 80 nucleotides in length. Their secondary structure includes four short double-helical elements and three loops (D, anti-codon, and T loops). The record is from Rfam by way of RNAcentral. Lineage: Eukaryota; Metazoa; Chordata; Mammalia; Rodentia; Bathyergidae.
GGAGCUACAGCUCAGUGGCAGAGCUCAUGCUUAGCAUUCAUGAGGUCCGGGGUUCAAUCCCUAGCACCA